AUUGAACGCUGGCGGCAGGCUUAACACAUGCAAGUCGAACGAGUGGCGGACGGGUGAGUAAUGUCUGGGAAACUGCCUGAUGGAGGGGGAUAAAUACUGGAAACGGUAGCUAAUACCGCAUACCAUCGGAUGUGCCCAGAUGGGAUUAGCUAGUAGGUGGGGUAAAGGCGUACCUAGGCCACGAUCCCUAGCUGGUCUGAGAGGAUGACCAUCGACACUGGAAGUUAGACACGGUCCAGACGCCUACGGUAGGGAGCAGUGUGGAAUAUUGCACAAUGGGCGCAAGCCUGAUGCAGCCAUGCCGCGUGUAUGAAGAAGGCCUUCGGUUUGUAAAGUACUUUCAGCGGUGAGGCGUUACCCGCAGAAGAAGCACCGGCUAACUCCGUGCCAGCAGCCGCGGUAAUUC
RNAcentral lists this ribosomal RNA (406 nucleotides) under uncultured bacterium. RNAcentral's name for it is "partial 16S ribosomal RNA". It matches the Rfam family "Bacterial small subunit ribosomal RNA", at positions 30 to 526 of the family's 1533-position model. The record is from RNAcentral.